GCUUGCUUUUCAAAGUUAGUGGCGGACGGGUGAGUAACGCGUGGGUAACCUGCCUCAUACAGGGGAAUAGCAGCUGGAAACGGCUGAUAAAACCGCAUAAGCGCACAGUGCCGCAUGGCACAGUGUGAAAAACUCCGGUGGUAUGAGAUGGACCCGCGUCUGAUUAGCUUGUUGGCGGGGUAACGGCCCACCAAGGCGACGAUCAGUAGCCGGCCUGAGAGGGUGAUCGGCCACAUUGGGACUGAGACACGGCCCAAACUCCCUACGGGAGGCAGCAGUGGGGAAUAUGGCAACAAUGGGGGAAAACCUGAUGCAGCGACGCCGCGUGAAGGAAGAAGUAUCUCGGUAUGUAAACUUCUAUCAGCAGGGAAGAUAAUGACGGUACCUGACUAAGAAGCCCCGGCUAACUACGUGCCAGCAGCCGCGGUAAUACGUAGGGGGCAAGCGUUAUCCGGAUUUACUGGGUGUAAAGGGAGCGUAGGCGGCGGAGCAAGUCAGAAGUGAAAGCCCGGGGCUCAACCCCGGGACGGCUUUUGAAACUGCCCUGCUUGAUUUCAGGAGAGGUAAGCGGAAUUCCUAGUGUAGCGGUGAAAUGCGUAGAUAUUAGGAGGAACACCAGUGGCGAAGGC
This 629-nucleotide ribosomal RNA is filed under the name uncultured Lachnospiraceae bacterium. Its description in RNAcentral is "bacterial SSU rRNA". It matches the Rfam family "Bacterial small subunit ribosomal RNA", at positions 78 to 722 of the family's 1533-position model. The record is from RNAcentral. Lineage: Bacteria; Bacillati; Bacillota; Clostridia; Lachnospirales; Lachnospiraceae.